UACAUGGGGUGCAAACGUUGCUCGGAAUUAUUGGGCGUAAAGCGCGCGUAGGCGGUUACUUAAGUCGGAUGUGAAAGCCCUCGGCUUAACUGAGGAAGUGCACCCGAAACUGAGUAGCUAGAGUACUAAAGAGGGUCGCGGAAUUCCCGGUGUAGAGGUGAAAUUCGUAGAUAUCGAGAGGAACACCGGUGGCGAAGGCGGCGAUCUGGACGAUGACUGACGCUGAGACGCGAAAGCGUGGGGAGCAAACAGG
This 253-nucleotide ribosomal RNA is filed under the name uncultured bacterium. RNAcentral's name for it is "partial 16S ribosomal RNA". It matches the Rfam family "Bacterial small subunit ribosomal RNA", at positions 524 to 776 of the family's 1533-position model. The record is from RNAcentral.